RNAcentral lists this ribosomal RNA (718 nucleotides) under uncultured Pseudomonadales bacterium. RNAcentral's name for it is "bacterial SSU rRNA". It matches the Rfam family "Bacterial small subunit ribosomal RNA", at positions 44 to 757 of the family's 1533-position model. Lineage: Bacteria; Pseudomonadati; Pseudomonadota; Gammaproteobacteria; Pseudomonadales. The record is from RNAcentral.
AGGCCUAACACAUGCAAGUCGAGCGGAUGAGAAGAGCUUGCUCUUCGAUUCAGCGGCGGACGGGUGAGUAAUGCCUAGGAAUCUGCCUGGUAGUGGGGGACAACGUUUCGAAAGGAACGCUAAUACCGCAUACGUCCUACGGGAGAAAGCAGGGGACCUUCGGGCCUUGCGCUAUCAGAUGAGCCUAGGUCGGAUUAGCUAGUUGGUGAGGUAAUGGCUCACCAAGGCGACGAUCCGUAACUGGUCUGAGAGGAUGAUCAGUCACACUGGAACUGAGACACGGUCCAGACUCCUACGGGAGGCAGCAGUGGGGAAUAUUGGACAAUGGGCGAAAGCCUGAUCCAGCCAUGCCGCGUGUGUGAAGAAGGUCUUCGGAUUGUAAAGCACUUUAAGCUGGGAGGAAGGGCAUUAACCUAAUACGUUAGUGUUUUGACGUUACCGACAGAAUAAGCACCGGCUAACUCUGUGCCAGCAGCCGCGGUAAUACAGAGGGUGCAAGCGUUAAUCGGAAUUACUGGGCGUAAAGCGCGCGUAGGUGGUUUGUUAAGUUGGAUGUGAAAGCCCCGGGCUCAACAUGGGAACUGCAUCCAAAACUGGCAAGCUAGAGUACGGUAGAGGGUGGUGGAAUUUCCUGUGUAGCGGUGAAAUGCGUAGAUAUAGGAAGGAACACCAGUGGCGAAGGCGACCACAUGGACUGAUACUGACACUGAGGUGCGAA